This 490-nucleotide ribosomal RNA is filed under the name uncultured bacterium. RNAcentral's name for it is "partial 16S ribosomal RNA". It matches the Rfam family "Bacterial small subunit ribosomal RNA", at positions 30 to 507 of the family's 1533-position model. The record is from RNAcentral.
AUUGAACGCUGGCGGCAUGCCUUACACAUGCAAGUCGAACGGCAGCAUGAUCUAGCUUGCUCGAUUGAUGGCGAGUGGCGAACGGGUGAGUAAUACAUCGGAACGUGCCCUGUAGUGGGGGAUAACUAGUCGAAAGAUUAGCUAAUACCGCAUACGACCUGAGGGUGAAAGUGGGGGACCGCAAGGCCUCAUGCUAUAGGAGCGGCCGAUGUCUGAUUAGCUAGUUGGUGGGGUAAAGGCUCACCAAGGCGACGAUCAGUAGCUGGUCUGAGAGGACGAUCAGCCACACUGGGACUGAGACACGGCCCAGACUCCUACGGGAGGCAGCAGUGGGGAAUUUUGGACAAUGGGCGAAAGCCUGAUCCAGCAAUGCCGCGUGUGUGAAGAAGGCCUUCGGGUUGUAAAGCACUUUUGUCCGGAAAGAAAUGGCUCAGGUUAAUACCUGGGGUCGAUGACGGUACCGGAAGAAUAAGGACCGGCUAACUACGUG